CCAUGUUUUCUGCGGGCCAGAAGGGAACCCGCUUUGAUUCCCACCCCCAGGAGGAAAGGAGGCUGUGUGGGUCAGGCGCGCUCACCCCACCCACUGCAGAGGGCCCUACAAGUGCCUCUCCCGCUGCGGCCCCACAGGCUCUGCGCGUCAGAGGGAGCCCUGUGCUGCAGCCAUGGUAACCCAGUGCCUUCCACUCCUUGCUAGCGUGCUGGUCUUGGCCGCCCCAGGCCUCUCUGUGCCUGCACAAGCCCAGAACACCUCCAAGAAGACCUUCUCCAGCACUUGGACAAAACACUCUGAAGAAAGACAGUUGGCCCAAGGACUGCAGUGAGAUCUCUGCAGGCAGCCCCAGUGGCGUCUACGUCAUCCAGCCCUCAGGGC
This 381-nucleotide long non-coding RNA is filed under the name Gallus gallus (chicken). Its description in RNAcentral is "lncRNA (ENSGALG00010029822.1)". The record is from RNAcentral. Lineage: Eukaryota; Metazoa; Chordata; Aves; Galliformes; Phasianidae.